UGAACGCUGGCGGUAGGCCUAACACAUGCAAGUCGAACGGCAGCACAGUAAGAGCUUGCUCUUACGGGUGGCGAGUGGCGGACGGGUGAGGAAUACAUCGGAAUCUACUUUUUCGUGGGGGAUAACGUAGGGAGACUUACGCUAAUACCGCAUACGACCUACGGGUGAAAGCAGGGGAUCUUCGGACCUUGCGCGAUUGAAUGAGCCGAUGUCGGAUUAGCUAGUUGGCGGGGUAAAGGCCCACCAAGGCGACGAUCCGUAGCUGGUCUGAGAGGAUGAUCAGCCACACUGGAACUGAGACACGGCCCAGACUCCUACGGGAGGCAGCAGUGGGGAAUAUUGGACAAUGGGCGCAAGCCUGAUCCAGCCAUACCGCGUGGGUGAAGAAGGCCUUCGGGUUGUAAAGCCCUUUUGUUGGGAAAGAAAAGCAGCAGGUUAAUACCCCGCUGUUCUGACGGUACCCAAAGAAUAAGCACCGGCUAACUUCGUG
This 490-nucleotide ribosomal RNA is filed under the name uncultured bacterium. Its description in RNAcentral is "partial 16S ribosomal RNA". It matches the Rfam family "Bacterial small subunit ribosomal RNA", at positions 30 to 507 of the family's 1533-position model. The record is from RNAcentral.